AAUUAAGUGCCUGGUUGCAGCAUAUCUAUGUAUUAAAAAAAUGUGCUCUAAACAUUAGGCGGACUUUUUUCGCCUUCUCAACGUACUAAGUUACAAGUUAAGAUGACUGCCACCACGGCCGGUAAAAGCAAAAGGCAAACAACCUUCCAGGAAGCUGCCUGCUGUCCCCGAGUCGGAGCUGUAGUUCAGCAAGAAGCAGGUCAGCAAACGUGCUACCUUGAUCAAGCGUAAACUAAAGCGCUCUGCUGUGAUUGCACUCGGCAAACGUGAAAACUUGGCGCAUGCUGAGAAAUAUCAAGCAAAAUAUUCGUGAUGGACACCGUGCGAACAAGUUGCGCCGCCUGCCAAAAAAAACGCGGCUCAUUCUACUUGCCUGCAGAAGACAAAUUGGAUUUUGUGAUCUGUAUCCGCGGUAUCAACAAAGUUGCACCAAAAGUGCGUAAAGUUUCACUGUUGUUCCGUUUUCGCCACAUUAACUACGGUUAGUUCAUCAAAUUGAACCAUUAAUACGCUACGCAUUGCCGAACCCUAUAUCACAUGGGGUUAUCCAAAUAUUAAAUCAAUUCGUGAAUUGAUCAACAAACGUGCAAUUGUCAAGCACAACCAUCAACGUGUCCUAAUCUCUGACAACUUUGUGAUCGAACGCAAAUUGCGCAAAGAGCACGAUAUUCAGUGCGUUGAUUAUUUGGCGCACGAAAUAUUCACUAUUGGAUCCCACUUCACGAAAGAAUCCCAACUUCCUGUGGCCAUUCAAGCUCAACACCACCCGGUGGCUGACGCAAGAAGGAGAAUCUCUACGUUGAGGUUGGUCGUUUCGGCAACCGUGAAGAUAAGAGUAACAAACUCCUGCGCAAGAUAGUUUAAAGAAAUUUUUUGCUGUACAAGGUGGAGUAUUUUUAUUUCAAAAAUAUAUAAUAAAUAAAAAUAGAAAA
Molecule: long non-coding RNA, 932 nt
Organism: Rhagoletis pomonella (apple maggot)
Lineage: Eukaryota; Metazoa; Arthropoda; Insecta; Diptera; Tephritidae
Exons: 2
Source: RefSeq, a predicted model, not a curated record